This 1953-nucleotide long non-coding RNA is filed under the name Erythranthe guttata (spotted monkey flower). RNAcentral describes it as "long non-coding RNA (EGUT_LNC001887)". The record is from RNAcentral. Lineage: Eukaryota; Viridiplantae; Streptophyta; Magnoliopsida; Lamiales; Phrymaceae.
UGGUGGAUUUCGAACUUAGUGAUCUUCUAUCGAAUGACGUGCUAUUGUUUUGUGCUUAAGAGCGUAUGACGUGCUAUUGUUUUAUGCUUAAGAGGGAUAUCGAAGGAUCUUUCCUCCACAUUUGAAGGUUUCCUCGGUUCUAACUUCUAUGUAGCUUUGUAUUUAGUAUUCGUCUUCUUCUUCUUCUGUUUUCUAUUACAUAAAAGAAUAUACGACGUAAGACUCUUGCACUUUGUAUGGCUUCCAGUUUUCGCUAUAUGUACGAGCAGUUUGUUGGUUCCAUGUGGCAAAUAUGACUUCACAAUUUUUGAUCGAAAUGUGUCUGACAAUCUUAUUGGUUGACGAAUCCGAGUUAACAGGUAGACAUGAUAAAAGUUACUCCUGGAUCACAUGCAAACGAGGAAUCGUAGUUGGUACUGAUACUUAUUUUUGUAGGUUUCAGUUUAAAUUAUAAUAAAACUCGUAUAUCCUGCGUAAUAAAUUUCCAUUGGAAUACACGUUAGUAUUCGUGCCUGUGGCUGUGUAUGUAUAUGUUCCCAUAUUUCUAUCAAGCUUUUUGCAAGACUAAAAAGUAUAUAGCAUUCCAUCGAAAAAAUACCUUUUUUUUUUUUUUGGCCAAUCCCGCUGAAUAAGUUCUCUCUUUGGCUCCUCGACCGUUGUUUUACAGCCUCUAAGUUAAUUUUUAUUUAUCUCUCUUUGUGCAGUUAAUAAGCAGAGUGCAGCUUUGGAGAAUCCGAAGCUUCGGCAACUUUAGUGAACUCUGAGUAACCCCUCCCUCUGUUACUGAAUAAUUUUUAUCGUCUGUUUUUCUUGUUUUCGACCUUUUGUUUUAUCUCUGCAAAUGUAAUUAACCGUCUGUAUCUUGUAUUUGGUAUGUUUGUGAAAUUAUUAGUGGUUUCUCAAGUUAAAUGCUCGAGAUGCUUUGACCAUGUUCGGUUGCCAAGAUAAGAUUAGCCAAAACAAGACUAUGCAAUUUUAUGAGAACCCAAUUGUAUAAUUAGAUUAGGGAUCCAAUAAGACAAUCCUCCAAUAAGCCAAGAAAAGAGCUUAUUUUUUGUCCAUUAUUGUAGGUAUUCCGUCUUCGUAAAUAAUAUUUUAGAUCAGUUCUCUGGAGUUAAUUUAACUCUAAAAAAACUACAUAUCAUUACAGUGACAAGUAUACCAAAACUAUUGUUUAAAUCACAGUCUAUUAAGCUAAGUGAUUGUGAUUACUUCUUUAAUCGUCAGGUUUUUUCUCAUUGGUUGGCUGUGGGCAAUUGUUUCUAGUUUAAUUAUACGGGGACUGCUAAAAAAAUCCCGUUUAUUUCUCACUUUAACUCCAACAUACAAAAAUAGAAAUAAAUAGGUAAUGACAUUAAUACCCUUAAUAAAAUUUAUAUCACACACAUUUUGUGUGUGGUAUUAAUUUUCAUUAAGGGUAAUAAUGCAUUAUCUAUUUAUUUUUAUUUUUUAUGCUGGUGGUAUUGAAGUGAGAAAUAAACGGUAUUUGUUUUAGCGGCUUCCUAAUUAUAUAUCUUAAAUUUAUUUUGAUAUCCUUCUAAACUUGUAGUGGUAAGUAUACUCCCUUACUUUCACUUUACUACCUAAUUCCAUUUAAGAAAGAAAGUUAUAGAUAUAGAAAACAUAACACGGUGAACAAAUGUGAAAUUAAUUCAUAGAUGCCAUGCCAAACAAAUUCACCACUGCUGUUUUAAAUCAAGCAAAACAUAAAGUCAAAAGCAAAAAAAAAAAAAAAACGAAAAUUCUGAUGCCAAAGAAACAAAUGCAGUACACGAAUAAUAACCAAACCGAAAGCAGUAAAAUCAGUAAUAAAUCCUUCACAUGUGUAAAAAUAAUUUUUCGUGUUUUUUUUUUUCUUCCUCAGGUGCUUCCCUCGUUAGCCAGCUUGAAGAUCUGUGCUUGAGCCGCUGCAGCCUUGUCGGAGCCGAGCGCCGCCACGAAGCUACUCCUAAC